UUUUAUGCUGUGUGGGGGGGGGAAAAUGUCGAGCUGCUCUCCAGGUCUCCUUUCUCUCUGGGAGCCGAGGGCUGCGCUUCUCCUCCUCCCUUUGCAGACACGCUGGCCUCGUGCACUGCCCAGCUGGGUGCGUGGCUCCCGCCCUGCAGACACUGUACCAGUUCACCAAGACCUCGUUUGUACUCAAGUGCCACUUGCUGGUGGGAGCUGCAGUGCUGGUACUGUGCCAAAGGUGGGCUGUGCCGAGCCCUGCAGCGAGCGCUGGGAGCUGCAGAGCUGAGAGGGAGCAGAGCGUUGCACAGAGCAUUGCUAGGAGGUGUGCUAACAUUGCUAGGAGGUGUGCUAACAUUGCUAGGAGGUGUGCUAACAUUGCUAGGAGGUGUGCUAACUUGCUGGCACAGAGCAUUGCUAGGAGGUGUGUUAAUAUACUGGCAGAGCGACUGACCCCAUGCAGGGGGCUUUGAGGGUGCUUCAGCUGUGGCCGUUUUACUCAGGAUUGCUGUGUUACUGUUCAAUGUGUGAUUUGGUUGAACGUGUCCAAAAGUUGUUUCUGUAGGGGUUCGUUCUGGCAUCCUUCUGGAAGUUUGGCCUUAGAAAUGGUUUUUCUGGAGUGAGGUGGGUUUCUGAAAGCUGUCAGUCAAAUUAUUUCUAGGUGCCAUUGGUCCUAAACCAGUUUCGCUUUGUGUACCGAAUUUUGUCCUUUACAAUGCUCAGUGUAAGGCACCAGAUACCUUCUGUACAAAUUCCAGCUACAAAUACUGGCUUUUUCCUAGCCUGGAAGUUUGCUCUGUUGAAACUCCGAGCUCCGCCUGCCCUUCAAACAGCUUGAGGCCUUUUUUCUUUCUCAAUAUUCCCUUCACAUCUUGUCCUCUUCUAAUAUUCUCCCAGUUUUGUGAGUUGAGGGUUUCGGACCUUCCUCCGAGCACUUUUAUAACCUAGGAACCCAAAGCUCUGCUGCCGUACCUUGCAGUUAUCCAUUCCAUUUCCAGAGCUGCCGUCCAAACGGCCGUCCCUGUCCCUUCAGUGCUGUGGAGUUCUGCUGCUGAUGGCUUGAUUGAAUCUGGUGGAAAAAAUCCAUAGGGAUGUGAAAGGGAAGGAUCCCAGUCUCUCCUUUCCCUACCCAAAGAUGGUACUUUACAUUGGUAUUGAGUGUUAGGAGGCUCAUCUUGUUUUGGCACGCGUUUCAGUAAGACAUCACCUAGCUAAUUGACUCGUUGUGACCUGGAACUGUAGAGGUUAGAGCUUGAGCUAAUUGCUGCUUGCUGCUAGCAAGAAGUUGUGUGUUUUUCAGUAGCUGAGUUACAAACGGAUUGGGGUCCUGAGCCCCAAGAAGCCUCAUCUCUGUAACACUAGAACAACAACGUUUGUCCCUCAGCAGGCAGUGUGUGCAGAAGGGCAGGGGCUGCAGGGGAGGACAUCGAAGCCUCGGUACUGCAGAAAUGUGUCCUGCCUGCCCUGGCCUUUCUGGCUCUGUCUGAGGUCCCCCCUCACCUAACACGGGUAGUUACCGUAGGGUCCUUCAACAACAAAGUGGUUCUGUUUAAAAUUUGGAGUGAAUAUUUUAUUUUUGAGCAAGACAGUCCUCAGAAAGUGCCUUUGUAGAAGACGGUGCUGUAGAUUUUAUUUUCCAGUUGUACGUGGCUGAACAUUUAAGAUAAAUAACUGUAAAUGCCAAGUGUCUGAUGGUACCUAUAGGUACUUUCAGGCAUCAGUUCUCUGAGUCAGGACCAAGCAUAACCAGGAUGGUGGUUUCCUUUGGAGGGAAAGGCAUUGGGGAGCAAUCACCAAGCACUGCUGGGGAGGAGCAGCUCGGGUGGAAGGUCUGUCUCCCAGGCAUUACAAAGUCCCAAGGACAAAGCAGACGAGCUGAGCGCUGUCUGGUGAUGCAGGGAUGGUCAGUGCUGCACGCAGGCGUCCUGUGGGUUGUGUUCUAACAGUGUGCAUUUGUGCUUGGGACUUGUCAUUCCUAGCUGGGAGAGAGAUGCUGUGGGCCCUGCCCAGAGGGCUGGCAGUGCUGUGGGUCCAUGGUGAGCAUUGCUUCCGUUGGGAAAGGCUGUCAGCUAGACUAUUAGCCACUGCACCUCAGUAACCUCGUAAUGCUGCGUUAAUAAUAGCAAAGUUCUGCUUUGAUGGCACUGCCGUGUGCUUGCACGUGCCUGCAAAAAUGCCCUCUUUCACUUUUGUAACGCUCUCGGUUGCGGUUACCUGCCUGCUCCUUGGGGAACUGCAUCCUUGGGGUGCUUCUGUGUGUAGCUGCUCUGUGUGUCCCAUCUGCCUGCUGCUGGCUGCUCUUUUUAGGUGCGAAACGUUUCUGAAUGGUUGUUUUUUUUUCCUUUUCUGAAGUCAGCUCGACUCUUUAAGAUGCAUUUGAGAAGAGAACAAACAGAACAACUCAGUAGACAGGCUGCUGUGUGGGGUGCUUUGGUUUCAAGUUGGCCAUUAAAAUGAAUUUGUGUUGACUUCAAUCACUGUUGAUGCAGUAUUGGGCGCUGCAGAUGUCAGGAUGGUUUUCAGUAUCAGCUGAAGCAUAAAAUUCUGCUUCCCUUGGGAGCAGCAGUGCUGCAGGCACACACUUGUACCCAGGCGUUUCCUAGGAGCGAGCAGAGCUGCUUCACAUCUGUUGAGCAGAACAGGAGCCAUGAAACGUUUGGGUUUGCAGUGCUGGGGCUGUGACACCGCUGUGCUUCACAUCCAUGGCAGAGCUGCUGUGCACAGAGCUGCACACAGAGCAUCGCUUCUGGCUGAAUUAAAGGCAGCAGUUCCUUUUUGUUCAGCAGCUUUGUUUUGGAGCAGCACUCAGUGCUGCUGCUGUAGUGUUUAAGCUUUGCAGUGGUUUGUUCCUGAUUUCUUACUGCUGUUAGGCUGGGGUUUAGAAAGCAUUUUGUCAGCCUGGGUUCUGAGCCCGCUUUCUGCAGCGGCCAUUUCUAUCUUUUAGACUAAAAAGGGCCAAAAAUCUUGUUCCAUCAGCUUGUUUGCAGCAAUGCUCUCCAUCUCUUCCCCUGCCUAUGAACCAGAUUAUUUUCUAUCUGUGCUUAGCCAGUGCUGAAGCUGUUGAGACGUGCACAUUCCUAUCUCCUCCUUCUCUAUGUUACAGAUGUGAUCAGAAGCAAUGGAAGGGCAGAGCUGUGUCUGAGGGUUCCUGCUGGGUGCAGAUCCCUGCUGAGGUGGGCUGUAGCACAUGAGGGUUAACUGCAGUAGCAGUGUCUGUGUGCUGCAGGUGUGAUGCAGUUCAGCUGGGUGCUUUAACACGAGCCAGUUGCUGAAGGUGUAGAUACUGAAGAGGCAAACUUGUUGAAAAUGGCAUCAUUCCUCCUGGCAAGGUUUAUAAUCAGUGCUACUCAUAGUAAAUGGUGCUGUGCUGGGGUUGAUCCGAAGUUGAAAUGACUCAGCUGUGUGUUUUAUGAAGAGGAGAGGAGGUGGUGACUGUGCUGUCAAACCAGUAGUAAAAAGCUGGGAAGGCAGGAGGGAGAGUUGACUGUGCUGAAAAGCUCCAAUGCUGCUGGAGCCAUCUGAACUUGUCCCUUUGCACCCACAGUUUACUCCAGCACCCACCAGUAACUACUGCAAGAACUAAGAGAUGAGGAGAGAGGUUUUUUCCUGUCUGUUGGUAAGCAGGAGUGCCUGCUCACCUCCACAGCCGUGCUGAGCAGCAGCAGCAGUGCCUGCGACAGCCGUGCCGUUCGAUCCCAUCUUCUGUGUGCUCUGAAUCCCAAAGCAGCCUUUCCUGGUUCAAAACAGAGAUUCAGGAGGUAGGUGAUGUUCCAAACAGCAGAGCCGUGGGUUCUGUGAGCAGUGUGUGGCCCCUUUACAAAGCACAGACGCUCCAAUGAUUUCUGGCUGCAGUUCUUUGGGCGGUUGGUACAGCAGCUGCUGAAGGAGCUCCCAUGUUAGCUUUGGUGUCCUGGGCUGCUUGGGUCAGACUUGAACUCGUUGAGAGCAAGCAUGUGCCUUUUUCUGAUCCGAGACAGAAGCUGGAGGAGCUGGCAGUCUGUGCUGCUUGACAGUGGGGUCAGUGUUCUUGAGCUGCUUGAGGCUUGGUCAGGACGGAGUCGGUUUGGUGUUGAGUUGCUUAAAGGGAGCCCUGAAUUAUUUGUGAAUGUAGCUACCCAGAGAGAAGAAGCUUUAAAGUAAAUGGUUUCUGGAGAGUAAUGUCAUCAAACAAACAGAUUUGGUGGUAGAGCUAGUUUUCUUUUAAAUGAAAUUGAACACUGAUAUGUUUCUCCAUAGAGAGCCAUUAAUUCUGCCUUUAUCUGAAUGUUGCCUGUCCCAUAACGUCUCUGCUGUGCUCCUGCAGCUUCCCUGCUGACUGUAAGGACCUGAGGAACGUUGUUGGCAGAGGUUGGGAAGUGGGAACGUGGUGCUGAGGGCUGAACAUCACUGGAGGUGGCUUUAAGGAGCGGCCUGCCAGCAGCUGAAGGUGCUGAGACUGGGAUAGGAUGUGAGGCAGCGGGGUGCUGAGGGGAGAAAUGAGAAUUGAGCCUCUCCUCUCACACCCAGCUGUGCAGCGAAGGCUGCUGGCUGCCUCAGGUGCUGGUUCAGGCUCCAGGCUGUGCGUGCGGAUUGUCGGAGAAUAACAAGAGCUUUUCGAGGUGUUUGCUGCACGUUGAGGUACUGCAGGGUUCCCAGCCAGCAGCUCUGGCAUCGGCGCUGGCUGUGAGAUGGGUUCCCUCCCUGAUUUCAGGGAAUUGAUUUUUGCCUCAGCUUUCUGCCCUAUCUGGAACACAGGAUGCCGUGCGCUGCCUUACGAGAGCCCAGCUGUGUGUUGUGAGCAUCAGCCCUGCUGUGAAGUGCUCCAUUCCUGCUACAAACCCGUGCGCCUUCCUGCCAGUGGCUGUUUGCAGUCUGUCCAUCCGAUGCAGCCUGUGCCCUCAGCUUUAUCUCAGCACCGCUGGCCCACGGAGCUCCUUGGGCUCGGUCCCCCUGUGUGCACUGCUGCUUUCUGUGAGCUUUUUUUGCAAAUUAGGGAUGAGUUGAUUCAAAUAAAAGGUUUCCUUUACAUUGCUGAGAAUCUCAGAGGUCUCUCAAACGCAUUUAGCAGCUGAAAAAUGAGUUCCUACCAUAAUAAUCUCCAACAACACGGAGAAGUAUGAUUAUCUUGAGAUGAUCUCACCUGAAUCGUGGGUCCACAACCAAUUUUGAUACAGCUGUGCGAAAAUUAGGCAUUAAAAUAGUUACUAAUCAUCUUUCAUAGUGCUAACACUUGCAAAUCUCUUGAGUGCAUUCGGAAAGUUUAUUUGGGUGUCUCACAUGUCAGUGCUUGCUCUGCUGGCUGAGCAGUAGCAAUGGAGCAGUGCUACAGCUGAGGAACCUUUGGUGUUUGGAGCACGCCAGCAGAGCAGUGCUUGUGUGCAGGGGAGAACGGAGUGCCCAGCAGAGCCGCUGCGUGAGGCUGAGAUGAAAUUUGGCUGCUGGCAAUUUGCACACAGCUGCCUUCCUCGGGGCUCUGGUUGUGUGCAUUGCAGCCUCCUGUGCCUGCAGCUUUCGGUUUCCUUCGGCUUCGAUUUCUGCUCCUCAGCAGAGCGCUGCCUUUCCUGCCCUUGUCAGUGUUCAAUCUGUUGAAUCUCGCCUUGAGAAAACUCCACCUUGUUUUCCUGUAGGUAAACCUGCUUCUAGACAGCUGCGUUUCUGCUCUGUUCCACAGGCAAUCCUGCGAAGCCUCAGCGCAGCAUCAGCAGCUGCAGAAUGGGUGCUCAGUGAUCUCCCAGCUGUGAGCAGAGGCGCCGUGGGGCCUCGCCAUGCAGCUCUCCUGUCCGUGCCGUUUCCUCCCUUGCUGUGAGCAGUUAGGCUUCCCCAGGUGUAUGAAAUUGGUGGAGAAAUGGCACUGCUGCUUGUUUUUUUGGGGGGAGGGGGGAGAAUUCAUCUGUCAGAAUGCACUGAGGCAUCAGAUCGUAGAGCAGGAUGUUGUCAUUGAGAGGCAUCGCCUGAAGCUUUCAUUGUGAUUGGUGAUGAGCCAGUUCUGGCUGUUGGAACAUCUCUGGUGGCAGCGUUGCUGUGCAGGAGGCUGCGGGGAGCAGCGUUGUGCAAAUACACCCUUUGCAUAUUUACCACCACCUGUUCAAAUGACAAACAAAACUGUUGUGCUGUUUGGGAUUCCUUCUCAGAAUAAAGUUCUAAUAAACGAA
Centrocercus urophasianus (Greater sage-grouse) is the source of this 6122-nucleotide long non-coding RNA. RefSeq lists it as uncharacterized. The record is from RefSeq and is a predicted model, not a curated record. The transcript has 2 exons. NCBI's taxonomy places the organism in Eukaryota, Metazoa, Chordata, Aves, Galliformes, Phasianidae.